Molecule: long non-coding RNA, 1746 nt
Organism: Carassius auratus (goldfish)
Lineage: Eukaryota; Metazoa; Chordata; Actinopteri; Cypriniformes; Cyprinidae
Exons: 3
Source: RefSeq, a predicted model, not a curated record
UAUCUGAACCAUCUCUGAAAUAAUCAAAUGUCGUAUCCGUUUUUUGUGAUCGAAAGGCUUUCAAAGAAAGAUCAGACAAUGGUAAGACAUACAAACAUUUUACAGUUUCCCCAUCCGUCCUGGCAAGCGAAUAAAUGUCAUGAUAAAUGUCAACAAUCAGAAGCAACAAUCUAUUGCAGAUUAUGUAAAUGGAAGGUUUCCACCUAUGCCAGUGAUGGAAUAUAAAAGCAUAUGCGAGAUCAAAUUAGAAUACACAGAGAAAACAAUACACCCAUGGAUGAUAUAAAUCACUUAAAAAUGUCAGUUUUGAUGUUUCAUACUAUGAAGCUGAUUAUUCAGAGAGAUCUUUACCAGCCAGUGCUACACAUCACGGACAAUCUUUCCACUGUAAGAUCAAAGGUUGUGCAAAAGAAGCUACCGUGACCUAAUUGACCAACCACUAAAGCGUUUUUAUCAAACAUAAAAGAUAACAAAUCUUCUCUAAACAUGUCACAGCUCCGCAGAAUGAUGAAUAUGUCAAGAUGCUGAAGAUUGUUCAGCUUGAGAGAAAGGUGAACACUCAGGCUGUGGAUAUUGAACAUAGGGGCAAGAUGAAUUGCAGUUCUGGAAGAGGAACUGAAUCGUUUGCAAGAGGCAAAAGAUAAAUCUACAAGUAAUGAGAACCAAGAUGAAGAACUGGUUAAACUGUGCCUCUGGCUUCAAAACCCUAGUGAGCAACUUUGAGAGAUUUCUUUUCAUUCAACCGGUUACGUACGUGAAUGUUUGUUAUGCUUUGCAGACAACAAAAGAGUUAAUUCCUGUAUAAUUACAACAAAAUAGUUAUUGUCAACUCAACAGAAUGGCUUUUUCCCACCCACACGGAAGUUUCUAAAUAAUUAUGGAAUUAUCGGAGUUGGAAGCUGCAAAGAACAUGAUGAGCAGACCAACAGACAACUUCCUAGCAACUAAUGCACACAAGACUUUAGAAAUGAAAUUUGACCUGGUCCUGCAUGCAUUUAUUUGUUCUGCAGAACAUCCAGGUUAUGAAUUUCGUAGCAGGGGAAGGAGAACCCCUGUGACCGCUGCUCCUGGUGGACCCAAACUCACCCAGCAGCUUCCAUACCUCUUUGGCUCUACAAAAAUGGCAUUGUGAUGUUCAGUAGUCCAUUCCACUCCAAUCAAGACCCAAGCACACGUGUUCAGUUAUUUUCCUGCUUUAUAUCUUACAUCACUUAGUUUGACUACAUAAAUACCAUAUAUUUUCCACAGUCAGCUUCCGUUUACUGAUGAAACAUCAAGAUUUGUCGUUCCUUUUAAGUUUUGCCUUCUUGAAUGCACGCAGGACUUGAUGGAUGGGUUUUUUCCUGAACUUCAGGAAAGGUUUUCUGAUGUGACCUUCCUGGUGUGGACUGUGAAUCCAUAAAGUUUUCAUCAUUAGGAUUACUAUUGCUCAUUUUUAGGAUAAUGGAUUGAACAAAUCCCUAACCCUACACAACUUUAGUUGGUAAUAUUUUUAAAUGUUUUAGAAAAUCUCUUAAGCUCACCAAGGCUGCAUUAUUUUAUCUAAAAAUACAGUAAAGAUUAAUAUUAUUAUUAAUACUUAAGACAUCUGUGCUGCAUAAUAUUUUUGUGGAAACUAUACAUUUUUUCAGGAUUUUCUAAUGAAUAGAAAGUUGAAAAGAACAGCAUUAAUUUGAACAUUAUAUACUUUCAUAUUGUACUUUUGUGCAUUAGAAAUGUCUUUACAGCCUUUUACGAUCAAUUCAA